GACGAACGCUGGCGGCGUGCUUAACACAUGCAAGUCGAACGGAGAUAUAUAAAUAGUUUACUAUGAAUAUAUUUUAGUGGCGGACGGGUGAGUAACACGUGGGCAACCUGCCUUAGAGUGGGGGAUAACAACGAGAAAUCGUUGCUAAUACCGCAUGAAAUUAGAUUAUCGCAUGAUAGUUUAAUGAAAGGAGAAAUCCGCUAAAAGAUGGGCCCGCGCCUGAUUAGCUAGUUGGUGAGGUAAAAGCUCACCAAGGCGACGAUCAGUAGCCGAUCUGAGAGGAUGACCGGCCACACUGGAACUGAGACACGGUCCAGACUCCUACGGGAGGCAGCAGUGGGGAAUAUUGUACAAUGGGGGAAACCCUGAUGCAGCAACGCCGCGUGGAGGAAGAAGGUUUUCGGAUUGUAAACUCCUGUCUUUUGGGACGAUAAUGACGGUACCAAAAGAGGAAGCCACGGCUAACUACGUG
Molecule: ribosomal RNA, 472 nt
Filed under: uncultured bacterium
Lineage: Bacteria
Description: bacterial SSU rRNA
Rfam family: Bacterial small subunit ribosomal RNA
Source: RNAcentral